RNAcentral lists this ribosomal RNA (468 nucleotides) under uncultured bacterium. RNAcentral's name for it is "partial 16S ribosomal RNA". It matches the Rfam family "Bacterial small subunit ribosomal RNA", at positions 28 to 507 of the family's 1533-position model. The record is from RNAcentral.
GACGAACGCUGGCGGCGUGCUUAACACAUGCAAGUCGAACGGAAAGGCCCUGCUUUUGUGGGGUGCUCGAGUGGCGAACGGGUGAGUAACACGUGAGUAACCUGCCCUUGACUUUGGGAUAACUUCAGGAAACUGGGGCUAAUACCGGAUAGGAGCUCCUGCUGCAUGGUGGGGGUUGGAAAGUUUCGGCGGUUGGGGAUGGACUCGCGGCUUAUCAGCUUGGUGGUGGGGUAGUGGCUUACCAAGGCUUUGACGGGUAGCCGGCCUGAGAGGGUGACCGGCCACAUUGGGACUGAGAUACGGCACAGACUCCUACGGGAGGCAGCAGUGGGGAAUAUUGCACAAUGGGCGGAAGCCUGAUGCAGCAACGCCGCGUGCGGGAUGACGGCCUUCGGGUUGUAAACCGCUUUCGCCUGUGACGAAGCGUGAGUGACGGUAAUGGGUAAAGAAGCACCGGCUAACUACGUG